GCCUACGGCCAUACCACCCUGAAAGCGCCGAUCUCGUCUGAUCUCGGAAGCUAAGCAGGGACGGGCUUGGUUAGUACCUGGAUGGGAGACCGCCUGGGAAUACCAGGUGUUGUAGGCU
This 118-nucleotide ribosomal RNA is filed under the name Xenopus tropicalis (tropical clawed frog). Lineage: Eukaryota; Metazoa; Chordata; Amphibia; Anura; Pipidae. The record is from RNAcentral.